RNAcentral lists this unclassified non-coding RNA (200 nucleotides) under soil metagenome. Its description in RNAcentral is "partial contains internal transcribed spacer 2 and large subunit ribosomal RNA". The record is from RNAcentral.
CCUGUUCGAGCGUCAUUAUAACCCCUCAAGCUCAGCUUGGUGUUGGGGCCUGCCAUCUGGCAGCCCUUAAAAUCAGUGGCGGUGCAUCUGGCUCUAAGCGUAGUAAUUUUUCUCGCUACAGAGUUCUGAUGGAUGCUUGCUCAUCCAAUCCCAUUUUUAUGGUUGACCUCGGAUCAGGUAGGGAUACCCGCUGAACUUAA